RNAcentral lists this ribosomal RNA (253 nucleotides) under uncultured bacterium. RNAcentral's name for it is "partial 16S ribosomal RNA". It matches the Rfam family "Bacterial small subunit ribosomal RNA", at positions 524 to 776 of the family's 1533-position model. The record is from RNAcentral.
GACAGAGGGUGCAAGCGUUGUUCGGAAUUACUGGGCGUAAAGGGCGUGUAGGCGGUGAGGUGUGUCUGGUGUGAAAUCCCUCGGCUUAACCGGGGAACGGCAUUGGAAACUACCUUGCUAGAGUGCGAGAGAGGGUGGCGGAAUUCCUGGUGUAGAGGUGAAAUUCGUAGAUACCAGGAGGAACACCGGAGGCGAAGGCGGCCACCUGGCUCGUAACUGACGCUGAGACGCGAAAGCGUGGGGAGCAAACAGG